AAUCUUCCACAAUGGGCUAAAGGCUGCUGUAGCAACGCCGCGUGACUGAAGAAGGUUNNNGGAUCNUAAAACUCCUUCGUAUGNGUANAACAAGUAAAGUUGUAACUGGCUGUACCUUGACGGUACCUUAUGACACAGCCACGUCUAACUACGUUCCAGCAGCCGCGGCAAUACGUAGGUGGCAAGCGUUGUCCGGAAUUAUUGGGUGUAAAGCGCGCGCAGGCGGUCCUUUAAGUCUGAUGUGAAAGCCUACGGCUCAACCGUGGAGGGUCAUUGGAAACUGGGGGACUUGAGUGCAGAAGAGGAAAGUGGAAUUCCAAGUGUAGCGGUGAAAUGCGUAGAGAUUUGGAGGAACACCAGUGGCGAAGGCGACUUUCUGGUCUGUAACUGACGCUGAGGCGCGAAAGCGUGGGGAGCAAACA
RNAcentral lists this ribosomal RNA (422 nucleotides) under uncultured bacterium. RNAcentral's name for it is "partial 16S ribosomal RNA". It matches the Rfam family "Bacterial small subunit ribosomal RNA", at positions 360 to 774 of the family's 1533-position model. The record is from RNAcentral.